UAUCUCUGUAGAGUCUGCAUAUCAAUAAGCGGAGGAAAAGAAACUAACUAGGAUUCCCUUAGUAACGGCGAGUGAAGCGGGAAGAGCUCAAAUUUGAAAUCUUCAAGGUUCUACCUUGACGAAUUGUAGUUUAAAGAAGUGUUUUCUGUUGAAUUUUGGUAAAAGUUCUUUGGAAUAGGACAUCCAUAGAGGGUGAGAAUCCCGUAUUUGACCGUUACUUUCCAGCUGUGUGAUACACUUUCAAAGAGUCGGAUUGUUUGGGAAUGCAGUCCAAAAUGGGUGGUAAAUUUCAUCUAAAGCUAAAUAUUGGCGAGAGACCGAUAGCGAACAAGUACCGUGAGGGAAAGAUGAAAAGAACUUUGAAAAGAGAGUUAAACAGUACGUGAAAUUGUCAAAAGGGAAGCGUUUGACACCAGUGUUGUUUUCUCGAAAAUCAAUUAAAAAUGGCUUGAUUUUGUGUUGUAUUGACUUUAAAAGCUUUCUUCACUUUUCUCAUGUCUUUUUUAAUGCACUUUUCGUUUAACAAGUCAACAUCAAUUUCUUUUGUUGUAAAAGGGUCAUUGGAAGGUGGCUUUCUUUUCGGAGAAAGUGUUUAUAGCCUUUGGCCUCUGCAAUCGGAGAGAUUGAGGUCUGCAGCGUAGAUCCUUCGGGGUUAGAUACAUUUGUGCUAAGUUAUAGCCUUUCAUAGACAACUUGUUGACUAUGAUCAGUCAUGUAGCUUACUCGCUUAUGCUAUUUUACCUACGCUUAGGAUGUUGAAGAUGUAGCACAUCAU
Molecule: ribosomal RNA, 775 nt
Filed under: uncultured Neocallimastigales
Lineage: Eukaryota; Fungi; Neocallimastigomycota; Neocallimastigomycetes; Neocallimastigales
Description: partial large subunit ribosomal RNA
Rfam family: Eukaryotic large subunit ribosomal RNA
Source: RNAcentral